Molecule: long non-coding RNA, 1569 nt
Organism: Sciurus carolinensis (gray squirrel)
Lineage: Eukaryota; Metazoa; Chordata; Mammalia; Rodentia; Sciuridae
Exons: 8
Source: RefSeq, a predicted model, not a curated record
GCACAUUAUAUUAUUACUGUUAUUGAACUGCACAGUGUCAUAGUUUGAAGCAACUAAAAAUUAGACCUGCCAAGCUCCAUUCAGGGAAUUAUCUAAAUCUGAAGAAGCAGUCCCCCCUGAAUCCAUAAAGCCCUAAGAUGUCAAAGCAUCACAAGGUUCUUGCUAAUUUGCUUAUGGCCUCCCUAAGUUGCUGAGUGGACUGGAACUUGAAAGCCUCCUUUCUUGGCCUCCUGAGCUGCUGUGAUUACAGGCAAUGCCAAUUAUAGAAGUAUGGAAGGGAGUUGCCCAGACGAACCCUGUGAAUUUGUUCCAGCUAUUUAUGACUAACAGGACUCAGGAUUCAAGAAGAGGAGGUAUUGAGAGACUCCGGACCAACUCAGAGCCACUGGGUGACUGCAGUGUCAUUUGGCGGACUGAAUGGAAGAAGCAGCUUGACUAGUUUCAUCUCUCUACUUCAUUGAUCAGGAUGCCUCUGUGUACAAGUGUGAAAGCUGUAAUUAUUACUCCAUGUGAACAAACCUCCUUAAGGACUCACAGGAGCUGGUGGAUCUAAAGUCUUCAUGCUCCAGUCUCCAAUGAGACUCUUGGAAAAAUAUUAUCCAAACUAAACUCACUCCUAAUGAACCACUCCAUUGCUGAAUUGGAGAGUCUAAUUCUGUGGAAAUCCAAAUGAAGUCAUCUAGGAACAUGGAACAAGAUAGUUUGGAGGAAUAAAACCACCACUACAAGGGAAGUAGGGACAGCAUUUGAAAUGGACUACAACAAAGCUUUGUAUGAUCUCAGGACAAAAUUAUAUGACUCUUCAGUAGAAGCAAAGUAUCUACCAUGAAAUCCAUGUUUUUAUAGAAAUUUGUACAUUUCUUUCAAUAGGGAGGGAUUUUGUUUGUUUGUUUGUGUAUUUUUUCCAAAUCCUGUUCACUUUGCCACCAAAAUCUCAGUCAUCCUUUGUGACUGCUACAGAAUCAUCACCACCCCUAUGGCUACCUCACACACCUCCAGUCCUGAAGGUAGCUUUUCCUAGCAACCCUUCCUGGGACCAAUGGUCUGCUUCCAGGGAAUGUGUGGAAAUCCCUAAUAGACUCUUGCCCAUUCCCAUCACCUUCCCCAGUUGUCAACUUCUUAUUCCACCAGACCAAUAUAGUUAUUGAUUCAAAGUACUUUUGGUAGCUUUCAUCUGAGAAGCUGUCCCUCAUAUCUCAGUCUAAAUUAAAGACUCCUUUCUGCCUUCUGUUUCAUCCUUUGAAAAUCUCUACCAUUCAACUUACCAUGUUACUAUGUAAAAGCAGAUUAAGGCAUAGUAUGUAGCCAAGAUAAAUAGUUCAAUAAUUGUACUGAAUAACAAGUAAACAGGAGUCAAGGCUAUAUAAGAGCUGAGUAUUCUGCAUUUUCUAAAAGCAAAAAUGUUAUAAAUGGCAUUUUAACUUCUUCAGGGAAUGCUCCCUAAAAUGUAUUACAACAAAUGGGCUAAGGAAAUGAACACACACUUCACAGAAGAAGAUGUACAAGCAAUCAACAGAUAUAUGAAAAAAUGUUCAACAUCCCUAGUAAUAAGGGAAAUGCAAAUCAAAA